This 181-nucleotide small RNA is filed under the name Intrasporangium calvum. RNAcentral's name for it is "c-di-AMP sequence". The stretch from base 36 to 181 matches the Rfam family "c-di-AMP riboswitch aptamer (ydaO/yuaA leader)". Rfam says of the family: This family represents a conserved RNA structure found upstream of the ydaO and yuaA genes in Bacillus subtilis and related genes in other bacteria. The ydaO/yuaA element is thought to act as a genetic "off" switch for the ydaO and yuaA genes in its native state. It is believed that the element may be triggered during osmotic shock leading to activation of ydaO, a predicted amino acid transporter gene, and members of the yuaA-yubG operon which code for KtrA and KtrB K+ transporters. Lineage: Bacteria; Bacillati; Actinomycetota; Actinomycetes; Micrococcales; Intrasporangiaceae. The record is from RNAcentral.
GUCCCUGAAGCGCCGAGCCUCGCCAGCCAGGGACGUCACCCGGAAACCCGGAUCGCGCGAGGACGGGGGACCCAUGUGUGCCGGCGCUUCGCCGGCUGGGGGUGAAGUCGCCACCGCGACAGGGCCAACCUGACGGCCCCAACCCGACAGCUAACCCCGCAGGCGCUCGUCAGGAAGGGAU